Molecule: long non-coding RNA, 241 nt
Organism: Oxyura jamaicensis (ruddy duck)
Lineage: Eukaryota; Metazoa; Chordata; Aves; Anseriformes; Anatidae
Exons: 4
Source: RefSeq, a predicted model, not a curated record
UGGUGGCCUCGUGGCCCUUGGGUGUCCCCUGGUGGCCUCGUGGCCCUUGGGUGUCCCCUGGUGGCCUCGUGGUCCCCCAGGCCUCAUGGUGGCCCUUGGGUGUCCCCUGGUGGCCUCGUGGCCCUUGGGUGUCCCCUGGUGGCCUCGUGGCCCUUGGGUGUCCCCUGGUGGCCUCGUGGCCCUUGGGUGUCCCCUGAUGGCCUCGUGGCCCUUGGGUGUCCUGUGGUGGCCUCGUGGCCCC